GCUCUUAAAAAACAAAAAAGGCAAAAAACCCACAACCGACCCGCACCGCUGCGCCGCUCCUCGCCGCGGCCGGCAGGGCCGUGCAGCCCCCGUGCAGCCCCGCAGCGCCGCCCGGCUCCCGGCGGCGCUGUGCCGCCCCCUGCCGCCCACAGGCGGUACUGCAGGCGGAGGGGCCGCGCCCGGCAGCGGCGGCCCUGCCCGCGGCAAGAUGGCGGCGCCCUCAUCCGGAGCCGCUCCGGAGCCGCUCCGGAGCCGCGCCGGGCUCGGCUCGGGCCGGGACGCGGCGCUGAGGCGCGGUGCCGCUGCGGGGCUGCGGGUCGGGGCGCGGCGAGCGUUUCCGUUGCUGCUGGUCUCUGCAGAGUUCGGGAAAAGUGGAGAGACGGGGCGGAAUUCCAGCAGAGAGGUGGAAGGUGGAAGAAGCCUUCUUGGCCCAUACAAAGCCAGAACGGCGUCGCUUCCCAGAACAGGGAGACUGGGUGUACGUACAGUGCUGCCGAAGGAAGGCUGCCGGGCACUGCUUGUGCCAAGUCAAGGACUUUUUGGUUCCUUACACUGCCCUGCCAGCAAGGGGGCUGGGAGUGCACAAGGAACUGGGAGGGGACAGAGACAGGACCGCUGACCCAAACUGACCGAAGGGAUGUUCCUCACCAUCCCAUAUGGCAUCACGCUGAACAAUUCAUACGGGGUGGCUGGGGGGGGAACAGGAUGGGGAGGACCGCUGCUUGGGGAUGGGCUGGGCAUCAUCAGCAGGUGGUGAGCAAUUGCAUUGCGAAUCGCCUGCUUUGGAACAUUCCGUCAUCAUCACCAGCAGCGUUAUUAUUACUUCCCUGCCUUUUCUGUCCUAUUAAACUAUCUUUAUCCUAACCCACAAGCUUUGACUAUUUUUUCUUCCCAAGUGUCCCACGGUGCCGUUCACUCCAGCCACCUGCCAGGUUAAGCCAGAACAAGAACACAGAUGGGAAAGGGUAGAAUGCGCACCUCCUCAUUUGGCUUUCAGAAGGACACAGACUAACAAGUUACUCUAGUGAACAGUGUGAUUGGGCAGGUUCUCCUGACUUAGGGAACUUGUCAGGGCAACUGAUCUUCUUUUUCUAAUGUUAUUUUUCAUAAUACUCACUGCAAACCCUUGCUGAAUUUGAAAAAGUUACAGAGAGGUUGCCUGUGACAUCUCUGGAAAGGGGGGGUGCGUUUUCGUGGAGGUGUGACUCUUUCUGUAAUCUCUUGUCAAAAACGUCUGGGUAAACGGAUCCUUCAUCCCGUUGGAUACGGAUGUCCUGCAGGGGUGUCUGCCAUUCCCACGACAGGGAUAGCUGCAGAGCGGGUACCGAGUGGAAAGGAGAUCCGAACGACAGCUAAUGUCGCCAUUAAAAACUCUGUGGGAGCAGCCUGGGACAAGAUGUGGAAGGAGAACUUGGUGAGGAGCUGCUCUGCAAGGUGGAGGCGGGCAGUGACCCAAGAGGAGCAAAGUCAGCAGGAGAAGAUAGGGGGUCUGGGCGGGGGAGAUGUUGGGAGAGGCGGAGCAGCUGACAGGAGCGACUUUUCCCUUUCCUGUGAGGGAGAUGAUGAUGGAAAACCUGCCCCGGAGAAACGCUUGCUGUUUGUAGUUCAGACUGUAAAGCUGCUUCACAGAAUCACAGAAGUUAGGGAUUGGAAGGGACCUUGACAGAUCAUCUAGUCCAAUCCCCCUGCCGGAGCAGGAACACCGAGAUCAGGUCACACAGGAAUUUGUCCAGGUGGGUUCUGAAUGUCUCCAGAGAAGGAGACUCCACAGCCCCCCUGGGCAGCCUGUUCCAGUGCUCUGUCACCCCCACCAUGAAGAAGUUUCAUCUCACAUUUAAGCGGGACCUCCUGUGAGUUCCAGCUU
This 1864-nucleotide long non-coding RNA is filed under the name Anser brachyrhynchus (Pink-footed goose). Its description in RNAcentral is "lncRNA (ENSABRG00000007453.1)". The record is from RNAcentral. Lineage: Eukaryota; Metazoa; Chordata; Aves; Anseriformes; Anatidae.